This 1390-nucleotide ribosomal RNA is filed under the name Limosilactobacillus fermentum. RNAcentral describes it as "bacterial SSU rRNA". It matches the Rfam family "Bacterial small subunit ribosomal RNA", at positions 39 to 1415 of the family's 1533-position model. Lineage: Bacteria; Bacillati; Bacillota; Bacilli; Lactobacillales; Lactobacillaceae. The record is from RNAcentral.
GCGUUGGCCCAAUUGAUUGAUGGUGCUUGCACCUGAUUGAUUUUGGUCGCCAACGAGUGGCGGACGGGUGAGUAACACGUAGGUAACCUGCCCAGAAGCGGGGGACAACAUUUGGAAACAGAUGCUAAUACCGCAUAACAGCGUUGUUCGCAUGAACAACGCUUAAAAGAUGGCUUCUCGCUAUCACUUCUGGAUGGACCUGCGGUGCAUUAGCUUGUUGGUGGGGUAACGGCCUACCAAGGCGAUGAUGCAUAGCCGAGUUGAGAGACUGAUCGGCCACAAUGGGACUGAGACACGGCCCAUACUCCUACGGGAGGCAGCAGUAGGGAAUCUUCCACAAUGGGCGCAAGCCUGAUGGAGCAACACCGCGUGAGUGAAGAAGGGUUUCGGCUCGUAAAGCUCUGUUGUUAAAGAAGAACACGUAUGAGAGUAACUGUUCAUACGUUGACGGUAUUUAACCAGAAAGUCACGGCUAACUACGUGCCAGCAGCCGCGGUAAUACGUAGGUGGCAAGCGUUAUCCGGAUUUAUUGGGCGUAAAGAGAGUGCAGGCGGUUUUCUAAGUCUGAUGUGAAAGCCUUCGGCUUAACCGGAGAAGUGCAUCGGAAACUGGAUAACUUGAGUGCAGAAGAGGGUAGUGGAACUCCAUGUGUAGCGGUGGAAUGCGUAGAUAUAUGGAAGAACACCAGUGGCGAAGGCGGCUACCUGGUCUGCAACUGACGCUGAGACUCGAAAGCAUGGGUAGCGAACAGGAUUAGAUACCCUGGUAGUCCAUGCCGUAAACGAUGAGUGCUAGGUGUUGGAGGGUUUCCGCCCUUCAGUGCCGGAGCUAACGCAUUAAGCACUCCGCCUGGGGAGUACGACCGCAAGGUUGAAACUCAAAGGAAUUGACGGGGGCCCGCACAAGCGGUGGAGCAUGUGGUUUAAUUCGAAGCUACGCGAAGAACCUUACCAGGUCUUGACAUCUUGCGCCAACCCUAGAGAUAGGGCGUUUCCUUCGGGAACGCAAUGACAGGUGGUGCAUGGUCGUCGUCAGCUCGUGUCGUGAGAUGUUGGGUUAAGUCCCGCAACGAGCGCAACCCUUGUUACUAGUUGCCAGCAUUAAGUUGGGCACUCUAGUGAGACUGCCGGUGACAAACCGGAGGAAGGUGGGGACGACGUCAGAUCAUCAUGCCCCUUAUGACCUGGGCUACACACGUGCUACAAUGGACGGUACAACGAGUCGCGAACUCGCGAGGGCAAGCAAAUCUCUUAAAACCGUUCUCAGUUCGGACUGCAGGCUGCAACUCGCCUGCACGAAGUCGGAAUCGCUAGUAAUCGCGGAUCAGCAUGCCGCGGUGAAUACGUUCCCGGGCCUUGUACACACCGCCCGUCACACCAUGAGAGUUUGU